This is a small nucleolar RNA of Rhincodon typus (whale shark), 66 nucleotides long. RefSeq annotates it as small nucleolar RNA U54. The record is from RefSeq and is a predicted model, not a curated record. The transcript has a single exon. Lineage: Eukaryota; Metazoa; Chordata; Chondrichthyes; Orectolobiformes; Rhincodontidae.
UGGCAAGGAAGAUACUUUUUGUAAAUGAAUCAAUAUGAUUGCUCUGUACGCUAUUCUGAGCCAGUU